GGCACAUCAGGACACACACACCAGCGUACAGCAGAACACAACAGGACACACUAGGACACACCAGGGCUCAGCAGGACAAAAAGAAACACUGGGACACCCCUGAACACAGCAGGACAAGUAACCAUCAGGUCACCCCUGGACAAGGAUACACCGGACACACCAUGACCAGGAAAUACCAGGACAGGGAACUACCAGGAUGCGCAACCACCAGGACACCCAGGACACCCCAGGACAUCCCAGGACACCCCAGUUCACCCCCAGGACACCCCAGGACAUUCCAAGAUGCUUGAUUUCAGCCACCUUCUCUACUGUGAUGUCAUUACCCUGAGAAAAAGAGUUGAACUGUCGGUCAAUGACUUUUAAAAACACAGACACAUGGCAUGUGACGCUUGGGACACACUGACAGCCACAGGAGGUUCUUCUGGGCCCCUAGGCUGGAACGGGCUCCUCUCCAGCAGGACAGGCCAGCGGCAACACUCUCCCAAACACGAGAGCAGGGAACAUGUCAGUCAGUACUGUGGACGGGCCACUGUGAGGUGGCUCACCUGGAAGUCUCCGGUGCAGCCACCCAGCUUCAGCUUGCCCAGAUGUCCUCAGCUCCUAAGGGACGGGCUGGGCCCACUCAGGCCCCUCAGCCUAGAGCUUCCCAUGCAGCACCUGCCG
This 663-nucleotide long non-coding RNA is filed under the name Marmota monax (woodchuck). The record is from RNAcentral. Lineage: Eukaryota; Metazoa; Chordata; Mammalia; Rodentia; Sciuridae.